This 460-nucleotide ribosomal RNA is filed under the name Dasychira pilodes. RNAcentral describes it as "partial large subunit ribosomal RNA". The record is from RNAcentral. Lineage: Eukaryota; Metazoa; Arthropoda; Insecta; Lepidoptera; Erebidae.
UGCCCACUGAUAAUAAUUAAAGGGCUGCAGUAUUUUGACUGUACAAAGGUAGCAUAAUCAUUAGUCAUUUAAUUGAUGACUUGUAUGAAGGAUUGGAUGAAAUAUAGACUGUCUCAUAAUUAAUUUAUAGAAAUUAAUUUUUUAAUUAAAAAGUUAAAAUAAUUUAAAAAGACGAGAAGACCCUAUAGAGUUUAAUUUUUUAUUUAUUUAAUUAUAUUUAUAAAUUAAUUAUUUUUAAUUUAAUAAAAAAUUUUAUUGGGGUGAUAAAAAAAUUUAAUAAACUUUUUUUAUUAAUUUAAACAUAGAUAAGUGAUUAUUUGAUCCAAUAUUAUUGAUUAUAAGAAAAAAUUACCUUAGGGAUAACAGCGUAAUUUUUUUUUUUAGUUCAUAUAAAAAAAAGAGUUUGCGACCUCGAUGUUGGAUUAAGAUAAAAUUUAAAUGUAGAAGUUUAAAAUUUUGA